RNAcentral lists this ribosomal RNA (478 nucleotides) under uncultured bacterium. RNAcentral describes it as "bacterial SSU rRNA". It matches the Rfam family "Bacterial small subunit ribosomal RNA", at positions 8 to 526 of the family's 1533-position model. The record is from RNAcentral.
AGAGUUUGAUCAUGGCUCAGAACGAACGCUGGCGGCGCGCCUAACACAUGCAAGUCGAGCGGCCUCUUUCGGGGGGCAGCGGCGGACGGGUGAGCAACGCGUGGGAACCUGCCCUGGAGCCUGGAAUAGCAGCGGGAAACUGCUGGUAAGACCGGAUACGCCCCGUGAGGGGGAAAGACUUGUCGCUCUGGGAUGGGCCCGCGUCCGAUUAGCUAGUUGGUGGGGUAACGGCCUACCAAGGCUGCGAUCGGUAGCCGGUCUGAGAGGAUGAUCGGCCACACUGGGACUGAGAUACGGCCCAGACUCCUACGGGAGGCAGCAGCAAGGAAUUUUCGGCAAUGGGGGCAACCCUGACCGAGCAACGCCGCGUGAACGAAGAAGUCUUUCGGGAUGUAAAGUUCUUUUCCCGCUGAAGAAAGAAAGACGGUAGGCGGGGAAUAAGCAUCGGCUAACUACGUGCCAGCAGCCGCGGUAAUUC